CCUACGGGUGGCUGCAGUGGGGAAUAUUGGGCAAUGGAGGCAACCCUGACCCAGCAACGCCGCGUGAAUGAUGAAGGCCUUCGGAUUGUAAAGUUCUUUUCUUCGGGACGAAGAAAGUGACGGUACCUUAGGAAUAAGCCACGGCUAACUACGUGCCAGCAGCCGCGGUAAUACGUAGGAGGCAAGCGUUAUCCGGAAUGACUGGGCGUAAAGGGUGAGUAGGUGGUUGGACAAGUUAGACGCGAAAUUCCGGGGCUCAACCCUGGAACUGCGUCUAAAACUGUUGGUCUUGAGUGAAGGAGAGGCAGUCGGAAUUCCGGGUGUAGCGGUGGAAUGCGUAGAUAUAAGGAGGAACACCAGUGGCGAAGGCGGAUUGCUAGACUGUAACUGACACUGAGGCACGAAAGCGUGGGGAGCAAACAGGAUUAGAUACCCCAGUAGUC
RNAcentral lists this ribosomal RNA (443 nucleotides) under uncultured bacterium. RNAcentral describes it as "partial 16S ribosomal RNA". It matches the Rfam family "Bacterial small subunit ribosomal RNA", at positions 338 to 795 of the family's 1533-position model. The record is from RNAcentral.